RNAcentral lists this ribosomal RNA (907 nucleotides) under uncultured bacterium. RNAcentral describes it as "bacterial SSU rRNA". It matches the Rfam family "Bacterial small subunit ribosomal RNA", at positions 9 to 915 of the family's 1533-position model. The record is from RNAcentral.
GAGUUUGAUCCUGGCUCAGGAUGAACGCUAGCGGCAGGCUUAACACAUGCAAGUCGAAGGGUAACAUGUCUGCUCGCAGAUGAUGACGACCGGCGCACGGGUGCGUAACGCGUAUAGAAUCUGCCUUGCACUGAGGGAUAGCCUUUGGAAACGAAGAUUAAUACCUCAUGGUAUCAUUGACUGGCAUCGGUUGAUGAUUAAAGGUUACGGUGUAAGAUGGCUAUGCGUCCUAUUAGCUAGAUGGUAAGGUAACGGCUUACCAUGGCUACGAUAGGUAGGGGCCCUGAGAGGGGGAUCCCCCACACUGGUACUGAGACACGGACCAGACUCCUACGGGAGGCAGCAGUGAGGAAUAUUGGACAAUGGAGGCAACUCUGAUCCAGCCAUGCCGCGUGAAGGAUGACUGCCCUAUGGGUUGUAAACUUCUUUUAUACAGGAAGAAACACUGCUACGUGUAGCAGCUUGACGGUACUGUAUGAAUAAGCACCGGCUAACUCCGUGCCAGCAGCCGCGGUAAUACGGAGGGUGCAAGCGUUAUCCGGAAUCAUUGGGUUUAAAGGGUCCGUAGGCGGACUAAUAAGUCAGAGGUGAAAUCCCGCAGCUCAACUGUGGAACUGCCUUUGAAACUGUUAGUCUUGAGUUAUUGUGAAGUGGUUAGAAUAUGUAGUGUAGCGGUGAAAUGCUUAGAGAUUACAUGGAAUACCGAUUGCGAAGGCAGAUCACUAGCAAUAUACUGACGCUGAUGGACGAAAGCGUGGGGAGCGAACAGGAUUAGAUACCCUGGUAGUCCACGCCGUAAACGAUGGAUACUAGCUGUUCGGACGUAAGUCUGAGUGGCUAAGCGAAAGUGAUAAGUAUCCCACCUGGGGGAGUACGUUCGCAAGAAUGAAACUCAAAGGAAUUGACG